RNAcentral lists this ribosomal RNA (546 nucleotides) under Chaunax suttkusi (Suttkus sea toad). Its description in RNAcentral is "partial 16S large subunit ribosomal RNA". It matches the Rfam family "Bacterial large subunit ribosomal RNA", at positions 1846 to 2586 of the family's 2925-position model. Lineage: Eukaryota; Metazoa; Chordata; Actinopteri; Lophiiformes; Chaunacidae. The record is from RNAcentral.
UAAGAGGUCCCGCCUGCCCAGUGACUACAAGUUCAACGGCCGCGGUAUUUUGACCGUGCGAAGGUAGCGUAAUCAUUUGUCUUUUAAAUUAAGACCUGUAUGAAAGGUGAGACGAGGGCUUAGCUGUCUCCUCUCUCCAGUCAAUGAAAUUGAUCCCCCCGUGCAGAAGCGGGGAUUUUAACAUAAGACGAGAAGACCCUGUGGAGCUUUAGACACUCGGGCAGACUAUGUCAAGUACCCCUAAUAAAGGUGAAAACAGAGUAUGCUACUGUCCCAAUGUCUUCGGUUGGGGCGACCAUGGGGAAAUAAGAAACCCCCAAAGUGGAAUGGAAACAGACCCUUUUUCUACAACUGAGAGUACCCCCUCUAGCUAACAGAACUUCUGACCACCAAGACCCGGCAAAGCCGAUCCACGGACCAAGUUACCCCAGGGAUAACAGCGCAAUCCCCUUUUAGAGACCCUAUCGCCAAGGGGGCUUACGACCUCGAUGUUGGAUCAGGACAUCCUAAUGGUGCAACCGCUAUUAAGGGUUCGUUUGUUCAACG